UGUCGACAUUAUAGUUGCGCAGGCACUUUGGUGACUCUAGAGAACCUCGGGCCAAUCGCACAUCCCUGUGAUGGCGACAAUGCAUUUGGAUGUCUGCCCUAUCAACUUUCCAUGGACUUUCUGCGACUACCAUGGUAAACACGGGUAACGGGGAAUCAGGAUUCGAUUCUGGAAUUCAGGGAGUCUGAGAAACGACUACCACAUCCAAGGAAGGCAGCAGGCGUGCAAAUUACCCACUCCCGACGCGAGAAAGUAGUGACGACA
Molecule: non-coding RNA, 264 nt
Organism: Pelobates cultripes (western spadefoot toad)
Lineage: Eukaryota; Metazoa; Chordata; Amphibia; Anura; Pelobatidae
Source: the annotation of a GenBank genome assembly